UACGGAGGUUGCAAUCGUUGUUCGGAAUAACUGGGCGUAAAGGGAGCGCAGGCGGCUUGGUAAGUCUAAAGUGAAAUCCCAGGGCUCAACUCUGGACGUGCUUUGGAUACUGCCUGGCUUGAGUACGUGAGAGGAGAUUGGAAUUCCAGGUGUAGCGGUGAAAUGCGUAGAUAUCUGGAGGAACACCGGUGGCGAAAGCGGAUCUCUGGCACGUUACUGACGCUGAGGCUCGAAAGCGUGGGGAGCAAACGGG
Molecule: ribosomal RNA, 253 nt
Filed under: uncultured bacterium
Lineage: Bacteria
Description: partial 16S ribosomal RNA
Rfam family: Bacterial small subunit ribosomal RNA
Source: RNAcentral